This 475-nucleotide long non-coding RNA is filed under the name Homo sapiens (human). Its description in RNAcentral is "HSALNT0118958". The record is from RNAcentral. Lineage: Eukaryota; Metazoa; Chordata; Mammalia; Primates; Hominidae.
CUUUGCUCCCGGCAUGAUAGAGUAAAAACUCAGCUGCAGCACUGACUUUGAAGUGGAAGGAUAUAAGCAGUGGGAGCUGAAGUUAUUCAGAUACACAGAGCAAGGCCUUCGGACGAGAGCUUUGAUGAGUCCUGAAGCAACUGAAGUCAUGAAUACGCAUAAGUUAUAACUUACAAGGCAAGCUAUUUGGGACAGAAGAUAAGGCAUCCACUUCUUAGGAAAAAUGAGCUACGCGCUCUACGGUGUCUGGGGCAACAGAGAUGAGAAGGGUAGCUGGAGCUCAUUAACAACAGAGUGUUAAGAGUAAAGAUUUACAACCUCUUGAUGCCAACAUCUCUACCUAACUUCAAUUUCCCAUUUUGAUACCUUGGUUCCUGCUCUCUCACAAUGCCUUAUUCUUUGGAUCUCAAGGCCUGACUCAUCUUUAUUACCGCUUUAGCAUUUGCACCCUUAUAAUAAAUCAUUAACUCUGGAG